CCCACGCCGAAAGACCAAGGUUUCCUGCGCAACGUUAAUCGACGCAGGGUUAGUCGGUCCCUAAGGCGAGGCUGAAAAGCGUAGUCGAUGGAAAACAGGUUAAUAUUCCUGUACUUCUGGUUAUUGCGAUGGAGGGACGGAGAAGGCUAGGCCAGCUUGGCGUUGGUUGUCCAAGUUUAAGGUGGUAGGCUGGAAUCUUAGGUAAAUCCGGGAUUCCAAGGCCGAGAGCUGAUGACGAGUUACCCUUUGGGUGACGAAGUGGUUGAUGCCAUGCUUCCAAGAAAAGCUUCUAAGCUUCAGGUAACCAGGAACCGUACCCCAAACCGACACAGGUGGUUGGGUAGAGAAUACCAAGGCGCUUGAGAGAACUCGGGUGAAGGAACUAGGCAAAAUGGCACCGUAACUUCGGGAGAAGGUGCGCCGGUGAGGGUGAAGCACUUGCUGCGUAAGCCCACGCCGGUCGAAGAUACCAGGCCGCUGCGACUGUUUAUUAAAAACACAGCACUCUGCAAACACGAAAGUGGACGUAUAGGGUGUGACGCCUGCCCGGUGCCGGAAGGUUAAUUGAUGGGGUUAGCUAACGCGAAGCUCUUGAUCGAAGCCCCGGUAAACGGCGGCCGUAACUAUAACGGUCCUAAGGUAGCGAAAUUCCUUGUCGGGUAAGUUCCGACCUGCACGAAUGGCGUAACGAUGGCGGCGCUGUCUCCACCCGAGACUCAGUGAAAUUGAAAUCGCUGUGAAGAUGCAGUGUAUCCGCGGCUAGACGGAAAGACCCCGUGAACCUUUACUAUAGCUUUGCACUGGACUUUGAAUUUGCUUGUGUAGGAUAGGUGGGAGGCUUUGAAGCGUGGACGCCAGUUCGCGUGGAGCCAUCCUUGAAAUACCACCCUGGCAACUUUGAGGUUCUAACUCAGGUCCGUUAUCCGGAUCGAGGACAGUGUAUGGUGGGUAGUUUGACUGGGGCGGUCUCCUCCUAAAGAGUAACGGAGGAGUACGAAGGUGCGCUCAGACCGGUCGGAAAUCGGUCGUAGAGUAUAAAGGCAAAAGCGCGCUUGACUGCGAGACAGACACGUCGAGCAGGUACGAAAGUAGGUCUUAGUGAUCCGGUGGUUCUGUAUGGAAGGGCCAUCGCUCAACGGAUAAAAGGUACUCCGGGGAUAACAGGCUGAUACCGCCCAAGAGUUCAUAUCGACGGCGGUGUUUGGC
Molecule: ribosomal RNA, 1206 nt
Filed under: Pseudomonas sp. URIL14HWK12:I7
Lineage: Bacteria; Pseudomonadati; Pseudomonadota; Gammaproteobacteria; Pseudomonadales; Pseudomonadaceae
Description: bacterial LSU rRNA
Rfam family: Bacterial large subunit ribosomal RNA
Source: RNAcentral